UCCCUGGUGGCUCAGUGGUAAAAGAAUCUGCCUGCAAUGCAGGAGACCUGGGUUUGAUCCCUGGGCUGGGAA
RNAcentral lists this transfer RNA (72 nucleotides) under Bos taurus (domestic cattle). It matches the Rfam family "tRNA". Rfam says of the family: Transfer RNA (tRNA) molecules are approximately 80 nucleotides in length. Their secondary structure includes four short double-helical elements and three loops (D, anti-codon, and T loops). The record is from Rfam by way of RNAcentral. RNAcentral also lists the same sequence under 5 other names. Lineage: Eukaryota; Metazoa; Chordata; Mammalia; Artiodactyla; Bovidae.